UAUUAAAAAUUUCAUCCAUUUGUACUGUUAAAAACUAGUGUGGCUGGUAGAAUAACCAAACAGUAACACAUGGUGUGCCAUGUGUACUCAUACUGACGUACAUUGACCAAAUUUUAAUAGUAGAAUUGAUGGAAUUUUUAACA
Molecule: non-coding RNA, 143 nt
Organism: Gossypium hirsutum (cotton)
Lineage: Eukaryota; Viridiplantae; Streptophyta; Magnoliopsida; Malvales; Malvaceae
Source: Rfam